GUGGGGAAUAUUGGACAAUGGGCGCAAGCCUGAUCCAGCCAUGCCGCGUGAGUGAUGAAGGCCCUAGGGUUGUAAAGCUCUUUCAGUGGGGACGAUAAUGACGGUACCCACAGAAGAAACCCCGGCUAACUUCGUGCCAGCAGCCGCGGUAAUACGAAGGGGGCUAGCGUUGUUCGGAUUUACUGGGCGUAAAGCGCACGUAGGCGGAUCGUUAAGUCGAGGGUGAAAUCCUGGAGCUCAACUCCAGAACUGCCUUCGAUACUGGCGAUCUUGAGUCCGGAAGAGGUGAGUGGAACUCCUAGUGUAGAGGUGGAAUUCGUAGAUAUUAGGAAGAACACCAGUGGCGAAGGCGGCUCACUGGUCCGGUACUGACGCUGAGGUGCGAAAGCGUGGGGAGCAAACAGGAUUAGAUACCCCGGUAGUCC
This 425-nucleotide ribosomal RNA is filed under the name uncultured bacterium. RNAcentral describes it as "partial 16S ribosomal RNA". It matches the Rfam family "Bacterial small subunit ribosomal RNA", at positions 354 to 796 of the family's 1533-position model. The record is from RNAcentral.